Molecule: ribosomal RNA, 473 nt
Filed under: uncultured bacterium
Lineage: Bacteria
Description: bacterial SSU rRNA
Rfam family: Bacterial small subunit ribosomal RNA
Source: RNAcentral
ACUCCUACGGGAGGCAGCAGUAGGGAAUCUUCCACAAUGGGCGCAAGCCUGAUGGAGCAACACCGCGUGAGUGAAGAAGGGUUUCGGCUCGUAAAGCUCUGUUGUUAAAGAAGAACACGUAUGAGAGUAACUGUUCAUACGUUGACGGUAUUUAACCAGAAAGUCACGGCUAACUACGUGCCAGCAGCCGCGGUAAUACGUAGGUGGCAAGCGUUAUCCGGAUUUAUUGGGCGUAAAGAGAGUGCAGGCGGUUUUCUAAGUCUGAUGUGAAAGCCUUCGGCUUAACCGGAGAAGUGCAUCGGAAACUGGAUAACUUGAGUGCAGAAGAGGGUAGUGGAACUCCAUGUGCAGCGGUGGAAUGCGUAGAUAUAUGGAAGAACACCAGUGGCGAAGGCGGCUACCUGGUCUGCAACUGACGCUGAGACUCGAAAGCAUGGGUAGCGAACAGGAUUAGAUACCCUGGUAGGAUAGCG